Mauremys reevesii (Reeves's turtle) is the source of this 259-nucleotide long non-coding RNA. RefSeq lists it as uncharacterized. Lineage: Eukaryota; Metazoa; Chordata; Testudines; Geoemydidae. The transcript has 3 exons. The record is from RefSeq and is a predicted model, not a curated record.
CACAAAUUUGUCAACAUCACAUCAAAAUAUACAGAAUGGGGAGAGGAAAACAAGCUUUCCUGCUUUUUCCAUCUCCCAGUCAGCUUCUCAACUCAAUUAAUUAGACCAAAUGAAGAAAGUAUUCUCUCUGUGCCCGCUUGGACACCGAAGCUUUGCUGCACCCUAGAACCUGGAAGUACUUCCGUGUGGAAAAACAAUAUCAGCCGUGACCCAGGGACCCCUCAAUGACAACUGGCAAGAGGGUUUCCAGUAAUAUCCU